RNAcentral lists this ribosomal RNA (473 nucleotides) under uncultured bacterium. Its description in RNAcentral is "bacterial SSU rRNA". It matches the Rfam family "Bacterial small subunit ribosomal RNA", at positions 328 to 793 of the family's 1533-position model. The record is from RNAcentral.
CUCGUAGACUCCUACGGGAGGCAGCAGUGAGGAAUAUUGGUCAAUGGGCGCAAGCCUGAUGCAGCCAUGCCGCGUGUGUGAAGAAGGCCUUCGGGUUGUAAAGCACUUUCAGUCGUGAGGAAGGUAGUGUAGUUAAUAGCUGCAUUAUUUGACGUUAGCGACAGAAGAAGCACCGGCUAACUCCGUGCCAGCAGCCGCGGUAAUACGGAGGGUGCGAGCGUUAAUCGGAAUUACUGGGCGUAAAGCGCAUGCAGGUGGUUUGUUAAGUCAGAUGUGAAAGCCCCGGGGCUCAACCUCGGAAUAGCAUUUGAAACUGGCAGACUAGAGUACUGUAGAGGGGGUAGAAUUUCAGGUGUAGCGGUGAAAUGCGUAGAGAUCUGAAGGAAUACCGGUGGCGAAGGCGGCCCCCUGGACAGAUACUGACACUCAGAUGCGAAAGCGUGGGGAGCAAACAGGAUUAGAUACCCUGGUAG